This 489-nucleotide long non-coding RNA is filed under the name Ursus maritimus (polar bear). RNAcentral describes it as "lncRNA (ENSUMAG00000005651.1)". The record is from RNAcentral. Lineage: Eukaryota; Metazoa; Chordata; Mammalia; Carnivora; Ursidae.
AUGACAUCUGGUCAUGAAAUCCAAGCUGCUGUUUGAUGAAGUUGGAGAUUAGGGGCUGAGGCUGUUGCUCUUCGGGCAAGCUGAUCUGGUCCCAUUUAAGUCUGUCAAGAUGUGUCACAUGGACCACAGGAGCUAGAAGAGCAGGCAGGUUGUCUCAUUCCAGGGGCAAAGUUGGAUCUCAGAGGGCUCUCCCAAGUCCACACCCUCAGCUUAUGUGCUUCCCGUCAUCUUGUUGGGUUAAGAAAUGCUCUAGCUCCCGACCGAAUGUAAUCGUUAAUCCUUGUUGUAAUAUCUUCUUUAUCAGUGAUCACCGUGCAGUUCCCAGAGCCCACUAUCCUUCAUUGCUGGGACCAGCAGAAGAAUAUAAAAAUGAGUUAAAAUCAAGAUUCUGCUCCCUUUCAUUGAAUUGUAAUAAAGUAAUAUUACAAAGACUGACUAUAUCCCCAAAGUUACCAGUAUCUGUCAAAAGAAAUAACACGGAUUCUUUUU